AGAGACCAAAAAAGUCAUCUUAGCUGAAAUUGGGGAUAAGAAAUUUGCUAUAAUCAUCGAUGAGGCCCGAGACACAUCUAUCAAGGAACAAAUGGCUUUGAUUUUGAGAUUUGUCAACAAUCAAGGCCAGGUGAUUGAGAGAUUUCUUGGAAUUGAACAUGUUACAGAUACAAGCUCAUCUUCACUUAAACAAGCUUUAGAUGGUAUGCUCUCUAAACAUAGUCUCUCUAUAAAAAACUUACAUGGGCAAGGAUAUGAUGGAGCAUCAAACAUGAGAGGAGAAUUCCAUGGGUUACAGAGAAAUAUAUUGGAUGAGAACCCCUAUGCCUUUUAUAUUCAUUAUUUUGCCCAUCAAUUACAAUUGGUAGUUGUGUCUGUGGCCAAGUGUUGCUCUUCAGUUAUGGAUUUCUUCAACUAUAUCAAUUUGAUUGUCAACAUAGUUAAUGUUUCUUGUAAGAGACAUGAUCAACUUGCCCAAUGUCACCAUGAUAAUCUUGUUCAAAGGCUAGAGAAUGAUGACAUGUUAAGGGGGAGAGGGAGAAACCAAGAAACUAAUUUAACAAGAGCUGGGGAUAGUAGAUGGGGAUCACAUCAUAAAACCUUAUGUCGUCUUCAACUCAUGUGGAGUGCUGUCUUAGAGGUGUUAGAGAAUGUAUGUCAAGAUGCCACUAAUCUAGCACAAAGAACCACAUCGACAGGUUUAUUAGAGAAAAUGGAGAGCUUUGAGUUUGUUCUUGUGUUACACCUCAUGAUCAAAGUUUUGGGUAAGACUAAUGACCAGUCACAAUUCUUGCAAAAGAAAGAUCAAAAUAUUAUUCGUGCCAUAGGAUUGGUUGGUGUCACAUUGCAAAAAUUAAAUGAGAUAAGACACCAUGGUUGGGAUGCUAUUUUUGAAGAGGCCAAGGAUUUUUGUCUCAAGCAUAAUAUUGUUGUCCCGGAUAUGUCAGCGGAAAUAGUUAGAAGAGGAUGUUCUAGAGGUCAUAGAGGAUAGUUGGUUACUAAUUAUGAGCAUCUUCAUCAUGAAAUAUUCAAUGUGGUGUUGGAUCAAGUUAUAGUUGAGUUUAACAAUCGUUUUGCUGAAAGGUCUACUCAACUCUUGAGAUGUGUUGCUUGUCUUGAUCCUAGUAAUUCUUUUGCCAACUAUGAUGAAGAUAAGCUUGUUGAACUUGCACAAAUUUAUGUUGAUGACUUCACAGAAUAUGAUUGUAUAGUUCUUAGAGACCAACUUGAUACAUUCAUUACCGAAGGAAGAGAAGAUUCAAGUUUCCUAUCAUGUUGUGAUCUUGGUAAUCUUGCUAUGAAGAUGGUUAAGACAGAUAGACAUACUGUAUUCCCAUUGGUUUAUCGUCUAAUUGAAUUGGCUUUGAUUUUGCCUGUUGCAACUGCAACUGUAGAAAGAGCAUUUUCAGCCAUGAAAAUCAUCAAGACAGAUUUGCGAAAUAAGAUGGGUGAUGAAUGGAUGAGUCAUUAUAUGAUUUGCUAUAUCGAGAGGGAUAUAUUUGCAAGUAUUGAAGAUCGUCAAAUUAUAGAGCAUUAUCAAGCCAUGAGAACACGAAGGGAGCAAAUACCAAAGACAAGAAAUAUUUCUAUUGUUGAUGAAAGCAACCUAAGUAAUUGAUGAAUUGGUCAUUGAGUCAAAGAUCUAUCAUUUUCUUAAUUAGG
Zea mays is the source of this 1662-nucleotide long non-coding RNA. RefSeq lists it as uncharacterized. The transcript is spliced from 3 exons. NCBI's taxonomy places the organism in Eukaryota, Viridiplantae, Streptophyta, Magnoliopsida, Poales, Poaceae. The record is from RefSeq and is a predicted model, not a curated record.